GACGAACGCUGGCGGCGUGCUUAACACAGGCAAGGCGAACGGUGAAGCGCCUUCCUGGGGGGAGGGAGAGGAGGAGUGGCGAACGGGGGAGGAACACGUGAGGAAGCGGACCCCGCCGGCGGGAGAACGGCAUGAAAGGGUGGCUAAUACGUGAGAUGCUGGGUCUGUCGCAUGAUGGGUCUGUGAAAGAUAUUGUUUCGGUGGGGGAUGGGCUCGCGGCCUAUCAGCUUGUUGGUGGGGUGAUGGCCUACCAAGGCGGUGGAGGGUAGGCGGCCUGCGAGGAUGGCCGGUCACACUGGGACUGAGACACGGCCCAGACUCCGACGGGAGGCAGCAGUGGGGAAUAGUGCACAGUGGGCGCAAGCCUGAUGCAGCGACGCCGCGGGAGGGAUGGAGGCCUUCGGGUUGUGAACCUCUUUCGCCAGUGAAGCAGGCCUGCCUCGUUUGUGGGUGGGUUGACGGUAGCUGGAUAAGAAGCGCCGGCUAACUACGUG
Molecule: ribosomal RNA, 494 nt
Filed under: uncultured bacterium
Lineage: Bacteria
Description: partial 16S ribosomal RNA
Rfam family: Bacterial small subunit ribosomal RNA
Source: RNAcentral